GAUGAACGCUGGCGGCGUGCCUAAUACAUGCAAGUCGAGCGAACAGACGAGGAGCUUGCUCCUCUGACGUUAGCGGCGGACGGGUGAGUAACACGUGGAUAACCUACCUAUAAGACUGGGAUAACUUCGGGAAGCAGGAGCUAAUACCGGAUAAUAUAUUGAACCGCAUGGUUCAAUAGUGAAAGACGGUUUUGCUGUCACUUAUAGAUGGAUCCGCGCCGCAUUAGCUAGUUGGUAAGGUAACGGCUUACCAAGGCGACGAUGCGUAGCCGAUCUGAGAGGAUGAUCGGCCACACUGGAACUGAGACACGGUCCAGACUCCUACGGGAGGCAGCAGUAGGGAAUCUUCCGCAAUGGGCGAAAGCCUGACGGAGCCACGCCGCGUGAGUGAUGAAGGUCUUCGGAUCGUAAAACUCUUUUAUUAGGGAAGAAAAAAUGUGUAAGUAACUAUGCACGUCUUGACGGUACCUAAUCAGAAAGCCACGGCUAACUACGUG
RNAcentral lists this ribosomal RNA (497 nucleotides) under uncultured bacterium. RNAcentral describes it as "partial 16S ribosomal RNA". It matches the Rfam family "Bacterial small subunit ribosomal RNA", at positions 28 to 507 of the family's 1533-position model. The record is from RNAcentral.